GACGAACGCUGGCGGCGUGCUUAACACAUGCAAGUCGAACGGUAAGGCCCUUUCGGGGGUACACGAGUGGCGAACGGGUGAGUAACACGUGGGUGAUCUGCCCUGCACUUUGGGAUAAGCCUGGGAAACUGGGUCUAAUACCGGAUAGGACUACGCGAUGCAUGUCGUGUGGUGGAAAGCUUUUGCGGUGUGGGAUGGGCCCGCGGCCUAUCAGCUUGUUGGUGGGGUGAUGGCCUUCCAAGGCGACGACGGGUAGCCGGCCUGAGAGGGUGUCCGGCCACACUGGGACUGAGAUACGGCCCAGACUCCUACGGGAGGCAGCAGUGGGGAAUAUUGCACAAUGGGCGCAAGCCUGAUGCAGCGACGCCGCGUGGGGGAUGACGGCCUUCGGGUUGUAAACCACUUUCAGCACAGACGAAGCGUAAGUGACGGUAUGUGCAGAAGAAGCACCGGCCAACUACGUG
This 464-nucleotide ribosomal RNA is filed under the name uncultured bacterium. Its description in RNAcentral is "partial 16S ribosomal RNA". It matches the Rfam family "Bacterial small subunit ribosomal RNA", at positions 28 to 507 of the family's 1533-position model. The record is from RNAcentral.